AUGAUGCUGUGGCUGAACUUGGUGUCCUUCCUAGCAGUCCUCAGAGGUGUUCAAUCCUCAGCCCAGUUGGUGGAGUCUGGAGGGGACGUGAGAAGGCCUGGAGAGUCCCUCCGUCUCUCCUGCCAAGCCUCUGGCUUCCCCUUCAGCAGCUAUUGGAUGCAUUGGGUGAGACAAGCUCCUGGGAAAGGCCUGGAAUGGGUGUCCGGAAUAAACCCUGGUUCAAGUGAUAUUAGGUACUCGGACAAAGUGAAGGGACGCUUCACCAUCUCCAGGGACAACUCCAAAAGCCAACUCUAUUUGCAAAUGAACAGCCUGAAGACGGAGGACUCGGCAGUCUAUUACUGUGCGAGGGACACAGUGGGAGGAAGGGGCAGUGUUGUCACACUGAAUGGCUUUCCCCAUGUGUGGGGUGGGGGUGGGGCAGAGGAAUAA
This is a non-coding RNA of Candoia aspera, 432 nucleotides long. Lineage: Eukaryota; Metazoa; Chordata; Lepidosauria; Squamata; Candoiidae. The record is from the annotation of a RefSeq genome assembly.